Molecule: long non-coding RNA, 1472 nt
Filed under: Daucus carota (carrot)
Lineage: Eukaryota; Viridiplantae; Streptophyta; Magnoliopsida; Apiales; Apiaceae
Description: long non-coding RNA (DCAR_LNC001867)
Source: RNAcentral
UUCAGGAUCCUAAAUUUUUGGAGGGCCUAAACUCAAGUCUUGUUCAACUAUAAUCAAGUUCAACCCUGAAUACAUGUAAAGAAAAGAAAGAACUGAUAUUAUCAGUAUAUGCAGUAAAUUUAAGUAGUAUAUGACUUCAAACAAAAUGAAGAGUGCAUAACAAGAAGAAAGAAAGGCAGUGCAAGACUGAAAUAAUUGAGAUAAAAUGUGUUCAGGGCACUACAUCUUUAUACGGUUUUCAUCAUUAACCUUGCCUCCCACUAACUCAUUCCCUCUACCUGCAAUUUUUCUAGAUAAGGACUUCCCUCCAUUCCGAAUAUUUUUAUAUAUCUUCGACUUGAUACAUUUUAAACUCUACUGAACAGCAAAAGGUUUUGAAUUACUAUGAUUUUUCAUAUUAACAUUAUUGGAGGGAAAAGAAAGAUGAGUAAAAUUACUCGAAAAUAAUAGAGAUUGGAGGGAAAUUUUGAGAAAAAAUCAAGUGCAAUAUUAUUAUGAUGAGAAUAUUUAAGAAGAAACCAGGGGAAGUGAGAAUGAGACAUUCUCUCUUUGAGGGGCGGUUUGAUUUAAUAACAGCCUGACAUUUUAAAUUAUUAAUAUCAUUAAAUAAACUCUCAAGCCUCAAAACCGAAGUAGAACAUAAAACCAAUCUCCCGCAACUACAUAUUUUUUAAGCAUUUAUGACCUAACUACAUAUUUUUUAAGCAUUUAUGACCUUCAUAGUAAUCUCCACAUAACAAUCUCAACCGUGUAUAGUGUAUAUCAACAUUAAGAAGAAAGAACAAAUCAUAAUAACUUAAGAAAGAAAGGAGUUCGACAAAGGCUCUGUAUCGGGAUGUAAUUCCAGGGGACGGAGCAAGUUCUUGGGUCAGGCCAAAACAGAAUACAGUCAAGGUAACGGUCGAUGCUGCAUUAUUUGCUGAAACUUCGAAAUAUGGUGUUGGUGUAAUAGCAAGGGAUGAUGAAGGCCAGGUUGUGCAAGGGAGGACAGAAGUGUUCGAGGGAGUGGUUAGACCGGAGUUUGCAGAAGCUGUAGCAGUAAAAGAAGCAUUAAGUUGGAUUAAAUCUUACGGAUGGAGGGAGGUGGUUCUGGAAUCAGACUGCUUGGCAGUGGUGCAAGCUAUCCGCAGUAAGCUUACUCUACGGUCUCCUUUUGGUCGUAUCAUUAUGGAGUGUCGUAGAAUGCUAGUAGAGUUAAACAUUGAAUUGUUUUUUAUUACACGAUCUGCCAACAUGGCCGCUCACUGGUUAGCGAGAGAGUCAUUGUUAUGUCCAGGUCGUAGCUUUGACAGGAGGUCUGUUCCUGUCGGUUUGGAGUCUCACUUGUUAGCAGAUUUAUUUGAGUAAUACAAUCUUUUUCCCUCAAAAAAAAAAAAAAAAAAAAAAAGAAAGAAAUUAUACCUUUGUGCGUUAGAAGGUUUUUAAGCUGAUGUAAUAUAUAUGGAGAAAAUCACAGUAAGUUGAGAAAGAGA